GGGAGUUGGAUAGGGCGUUACUUCACUAUUCAAGAUAUUCACAGACAUAGGUUCGAAUCUCCAAAAAGGACUAAAUUGUGAAGUCCAUUACAUCAAAGAUUAUAUAUAAUCUGAAUCUGAUACGAGCAUACAAUAAGCUCCUUGUUAGAUACGUUAUAUGAGUCUUUCAAGUGACUGCUUACGCGAAUAGCUAUUGUGUGAGGUACGUGUUUUUUUUUCCUUUUGUUAAAUAAUACUCGAAAUAAUAUAUUUACAUCUUAAUUAUUUUUGCUCGCUUCGCAUGUGAUGAGAGGCCUCGGGUUCAAUCCCCGAUAUCUCCAUGAAACCUUUUUUCUUUUUUUUUAUAUUUGAUUUAAGGAAACAGAUUUUUUAAAAUUUGUGUACCGAUACACUGUAAUCAGAAUAAAUAUUACGUUAAACAAUA
This is a long non-coding RNA of Daphnia pulex (common water flea), 424 nucleotides long. RefSeq lists it as uncharacterized. The transcript is spliced from 2 exons. The record is from RefSeq and is a predicted model, not a curated record. Lineage: Eukaryota; Metazoa; Arthropoda; Branchiopoda; Diplostraca; Daphniidae.